Molecule: long non-coding RNA, 372 nt
Filed under: Oryza brachyantha (malo sina)
Lineage: Eukaryota; Viridiplantae; Streptophyta; Magnoliopsida; Poales; Poaceae
Description: long non-coding RNA (OBRA_LNC003505)
Source: RNAcentral
UUAGCUCCCCUGCCCCAAUUGGUAGGUCCAUCUUACCCCCCCUUCUUUCCUCCUUUGCCUUUGCCAUUUCACCCCCACUCCACACACAUUCACAUUCCUCUCUCUCUCUCUACUGUCUCUCUCUCUCUCCUCUUCUGCUAUGAUAAAUACCCUGGAAACUGCAAUCACCCAGGCAAACCAGACAACACUUCACUUGGGAGUCAGCCUAGUUGAGCUCAAGCUAGCCUGAUCGAUCUCCUUUAUCUUCUUCUCCUCAUCAUCACAACAAGGUUGUCAACUCAGCUCAGCCUCAGCCUCAGCUAGCUACUAUAUAUCUGCCACCACACUGCAGCUCUAGUGUCUCCAUAGCUUUUUGCUCUGUGCUAGUCUUGG